This 582-nucleotide ribosomal RNA is filed under the name Triticum aestivum (bread wheat). RNAcentral describes it as "partial small subunit ribosomal RNA". Lineage: Eukaryota; Viridiplantae; Streptophyta; Magnoliopsida; Poales; Poaceae. The record is from RNAcentral.
AUGAGGGUUUACAAGAACGAAAAAGAGGUGCUUAAAUCUCUCCUAAAGGGUGUGAGCUCCAUAUGUCUAACUACGGAUUUGUGGACAAGCAACCAAACCUUAUCUUACAUGUGUGUGGUUGCACACUAUAUAGAUGGGAAUUGGAACUUACAAACCCGUGUGCUUGCUUUCAUAGAGUUGGAUCCUCCUCACUCUGGAAAUGUCAUUGUGGAUGCUCUCUAUGCAUGUGUGACAGAAUGGAAUAUUGAGACCAAAAUUAUGUCCGUCACACUUGACAACGCUUCAAACAAUGAUGGUGCGAUCGAUGCUUUGAAGGCCAAGUUCUUGUUUCGGAGAGGUAAGGACUUCGAAGGCCAAUAUUUUCAUAUCCGUUGUUGUGCACAUAUCCUCAACUUGCUCGUGCAAGAUGGGACAUCGAUCUUAGAUAAUUUGAUAAACAGCUUGAGAGAGACGGUGAAGUACUUCAAGAGGUCACCUUCUCGUCUCCAUGCUUUUGUUGCCACUUGCAAAAGCUUGGGUGUCAAAGUUGGUAAUCAUUUACACUUGGAUUGUAAAACAAGGUGGAGUUCAACCUUUAAGAUG